AGUGAACGCUGGCGGUAGGCCUAACACGUGCAAGUCGAACGGCAGCACAGUAAGAGCUUGCUCUUACGGGUGGCGAGUGGCGGACGGGUGAGGAAUACAUCGGAAUCUACUUUUUCGUGGGGGAUAACGUAGGGGAACUUACGCUAAUACCGCAUACGACCUACGGGUGAAAGCAGGGGAUCUUCGGACCUUGCGCGAUUGAAUGAGCCGAUGUCGGAUUAGCUAGUUGGCGGGGUAAAGGCCCACCAAGGCGACGAUCCGUAGCUGGUCUGAGAGGAUGAUCAGCCACACUGGAACUGAGACACGGUCCAGACUCCUACGGGAGGCAGCAGUGGGGAAUAUUGGACAAUGGGCGCAAGCCUGAUCCAGCCAUACCGCGUGGGUGAAGAAGGCCUUCGGGUUGUAAAGCCCUUUUGUUGGGAAAGAAAAGCAGCAGGUUAAUACCCCGCUGUUCUGACGGUACCCAAAGAAUAAGCACCGGCUAACUUCGUG
RNAcentral lists this ribosomal RNA (492 nucleotides) under uncultured bacterium. RNAcentral's name for it is "partial 16S ribosomal RNA". It matches the Rfam family "Bacterial small subunit ribosomal RNA", at positions 29 to 507 of the family's 1533-position model. The record is from RNAcentral.